GCACGGACUGUGCAAUCUCCUCAAGGUGAACUGCUCCUCUCCCUCCUCGAGGUUGAGGUAAAAGUGGUUCCAAACUCCCCCUCUUUGAUUUAAUCCCUGGAACAUCUCAUCUUUGUUUGUACAGAUCCGUUCUAUCUUUGCAUAGAAGGUGUUCGAUGAAAAUCCUAGAUAAGAUUAGCGUGUAUUUAUGCUCCAUCUAGCUGUUUGUAAACCAUAAUGCUAAUUAUUUCAGAAGUCAUCUCAUGACCAUAAAGCCAAUAUCGUUAAGAAUGAACUUACUGACAUAUUCUCUUGAACCUGCUCUUCUUUGCUAUGCUAUUAUGUGGUUUAGGUGGUGAACUUGUAUUUUAUGUAACUGAUUGAACCUACUACGGCUACGUUUUACGUACUACUGGUUAUCCUUUAGUUCAUAGUUUCCAUUAUAUAUAUGGAGUAAUUUGAUAUAUAAAACUGAGUGUCCAUUUAAUAGUAAAUAGAGUUAUUUUACUUGUAAGUAAUCUGACGAAGACAGUGCACAUAAGGGAAAGGCAGGGGAAAGGUGCAGCGAGUUUUUGCUGCUUUGUGAAAAAGAGAUCCGCCAUUAUUCUAAACUGUCUUUUUUAAUGCGUCGUCUUCUUUGAGGAAAAAACAGAAAAUUCAUGGAGCGAUGCAUGGAGAUUCAUGAUGGCCUUGUUCAUGUGAAAGGCCUCAGAAAAGUGGAGUCACUUAAUAUGAGAUAUUGUAACUACAUCACGGAUUCAGAUAUCAAAUAUUUAUAAGAUCUCACAAAUUUGAAGGAUCUGCAGUAGUUUUCUUGUAGAAUUACAGAUCUGGGUGUUUCUUACCUCAGGGGUAAACAAUGACUAUAACAUGCCUCUUUCUUUGUUAGAUGUUGGUACUUUUAUUUUGAGGUGGUUGGAUGAUCCAAGGACCAGUCGUGCAUUUUGGUGUUUUAUGGUCUACUCAUGAUCUCUAUGUAACUGUUUGACGUAUAUCUGAUCCACAGCUUCUCAUGGUUUAUAUUUAUCAUCUGUUUUAUGUAGGCUUGUCUAAGUUAACUCAGCUAAACCUGGAGCUGUCCAGUGACUGCUGCUUGUUUAGAGGCUAUCUCAGGUCUUGCAACUUCCCUAAUCCCUAAUAAGGGUUUACCUAGAUCCACUGGGCUUGCUUGCUUCGUUAGCUGAGACUUGUGGUCUUUUGGUUUGUUAACUUGUCAAAUAUUUGGUAGAAUUUUUUUUGGUGUGUUUCACUAGAUUUUUGUACUCUUAACGCAAGAAGAUUCGUGAGCAUAAUUACAUGAAAUUAUACUGAAAAAUGUCCAGUUAUGUACAAUUUCUUCCAAAGUUAUGUUUAGCCUUAAGGGGCCUGUUUGGAUUUCAGAUUUGAACUAGUUACCAAAAAAACUUUACCAAGAACACUAUUCUUCCAAACAGCUUCUAACUGUUUAUCGUUUGUUCUGUCCAUUGUACAUGAGGUCUCCUUAUAGUGCAGAGUUUUUUUUUGACAAAGAUUAUAGUGCAGAGUUAAGUGCCAUGUCACG
Lolium rigidum is the source of this 1519-nucleotide long non-coding RNA. RefSeq lists it as uncharacterized. The record is from RefSeq and is a predicted model, not a curated record. The transcript has 3 exons. Lineage: Eukaryota; Viridiplantae; Streptophyta; Magnoliopsida; Poales; Poaceae.